Molecule: ribosomal RNA, 1104 nt
Filed under: Dermanyssus gallinae
Lineage: Eukaryota; Metazoa; Arthropoda; Arachnida; Mesostigmata; Dermanyssidae
Description: 16S ribosomal RNA
Rfam family: Archaeal large subunit ribosomal RNA (bases 739-1052)
Source: RNAcentral
UAAAUUAAAUAAUUUUUUUAAAGUAAAUAUUAUUUUUAAAAGAUUAAAAAUUAUUAUUUAUAUUAUUGUACUGUAGGGGAUAAUUUAUAUUAAUGGAAAAGUAAUUUUUGUACCUUUUGUAUAAGGGCUAUUUUAUAUUUAUAAAAUAUUUUUAUAUCUCGAAGUAAAUUUAACUAUAAAAUAAAGUAUUAAUAUAUUUAAUAAUAUUAAAUAAAUUAUUUUAUAUUAUGAAAAGUAAAUUGGAAUUUAUAUUUCUAGUUAAAAAAAUAAUAUUUUAUAUAUUUUCUUUUUUUUUUAUAUUGGUAUAUUAAAAGAUUUAUUUUAUAUGAGAUAAGUUAUAUAAUGAGUUAUAGGUUUUGUAAAUUUGGUAAAUAAUAAGAUUUAAUAAUAAUUCAUUUUUGUAAUAAUUAUAUUUAUAUUGAAUUAAUAUAUUAAUUAUUGAAUAUAAAUUAUUUAUUAAUUAAUAAUUAAAAAAAUGAAUAGAUUAGUAUAAUUAAUAAUUUUAAAAAUAAAAAUUCGACAAAGUUAUAUACAAUUGUUUAACAAAAACAUUUUUUUUAGAUUUAAUUAAAAAUAUAUUCUGCUCAAUGAUGAUAUUAAAUUGCUGUAGUAAUAUAACUAUACAAAGGUAUUGAAAUAAGAUUUUAAAUGGGUGCUAAGAGAAUGGAUGAAUGUAUAUAAAUUGUUUUUUUUUAAAAAUUAAAAAUUAAUUUAAAAAUGAAAAAGUUUUUAUGUAUUAAUGGGACAAGAAGACCCUAUGAAUCUUAAUUAUUUUUAAAAUUAAAAAUUAUUUUAAUAUAAUUUAAUUGGGGCGAUUGAAAAAGAAUAUUUAUCUUUAUUUUGAAUUUAUUUUUUAAAUAUAGGAAAAGAUACUCUAGGGAUAACAGCGUUAUUAUUUUGGAUAGUUCAUAUUGAUAAAAUAGUUUGCGACCUCGAUGUUGAAUUAAUGAACCUUUUAAAUGAAGUUAUUUAGAAAGGUAGAUUGUUCCUCUAUUAAAUCAUUACAUGAUUUGAGUUCAGACCGAUGUAAAUCAGGUUGGUUUCUAUCUAUUGGUUAAUUAGAUAUUGGUUAGUACGAAAGGAAUACUAAUAUUAAUUAUUUUA